RNAcentral lists this ribosomal RNA (253 nucleotides) under uncultured bacterium. RNAcentral describes it as "partial 16S ribosomal RNA". It matches the Rfam family "Bacterial small subunit ribosomal RNA", at positions 524 to 776 of the family's 1533-position model. The record is from RNAcentral.
UACAGAGGGUGCGAGCGUUAAUCGGAGUAACUGGGCGUAAAGGGCGCGUAGGCGGUUAGAUAAGUUCACUGUGAAAGACCAAGGCUUAACCUUGGGGUGCCAGUGAAUACUAUCUGACUAGAGUAGAACAGAGGUGAGUGGAAUUUCCGGUGUAGCGGUGAAAUGCGUAGAUAUCGGAAGGAACAUCAGUGGCGAAGGCGGCUCACUGGGUUCAUACUGACGCUGAGGCGCGAAAGCAUGGGUAGCAAACAGG